GGGCCCAUAGCUCAGCGGUAGAGCUGCGGACUCAUAAUCCGUAGGUCCUAGGUUCGAAUCCUAGUGGGCCCA
This 72-nucleotide transfer RNA is filed under the name Candidatus Bathyarchaeota archaeon RBG_13_38_9. RNAcentral describes it as "tRNA-Met". It matches the Rfam family "tRNA". From Rfam's summary of the family: Transfer RNA (tRNA) molecules are approximately 80 nucleotides in length. Their secondary structure includes four short double-helical elements and three loops (D, anti-codon, and T loops). The record is from RNAcentral. Lineage: Archaea; Thermoproteati; Candidatus Bathyarchaeota.